Molecule: ribosomal RNA, 253 nt
Filed under: uncultured bacterium
Lineage: Bacteria
Description: partial 16S ribosomal RNA
Rfam family: Bacterial small subunit ribosomal RNA
Source: RNAcentral
UACGUAGGGGGCUAGCGUUGUCCGGAAUCAUUGGGCGUAAAAAGCGUGUAGGCGGCCCGGUAAGUCCGCUGUGAAAGUCCAGGGCUCAACCCUGGGAUGCCGGUGGAUACUGUCGGGCUCGAGUCCGGAAGAGGCGAGUGGAAUUCCUGGUGUAGCGGUGAAAUGCGCAGAUAUCAGGAGGAACACCGGUGGCGAAGGCGGGACUCUGGGCCGAUACUGACGCUGAGGAGCGAAAGCAUGGGGAGCGAACAGG